CCUACGGGUCGCACCAGUGGGGAAUAUUGCACAAUGGGCGCAAGCCUGAUGCAGCCAUGCCGCGUGUAUGAAGAAGGCCUUCGGGCUGUAAAGUACUUUCAGCGGGGAGGAAGGCGAUAGGUUAAUAACCUUGUCGAUUGACGUUACCCGCAGAAGAAGCACCGGCUAACUCCGUGCCAGCAGCCGCGGUAAUACGGAGGGUGCAAGCGUUAAUCGGAAUUACUGGGCGUAAAGCGCACGCAGGCGGUCUGUCAAGUCGGAUGUGAAAUCCCCGGGCUCAACCUGGGAACUGCAUUCGAAGCUGGCAGGCUAGAGUCUUGUAGAGGGGGGUAGAAUUCCAGGUGUAGCGGUGAAAUGCGUAGAGAUCUGGAGGAAUACCGGUGGCGAAGGCGGCCCCCUGGACAAAGACUGACGCUCAGGUGCGAAAGCGUGGGGAGCAAACAGGAUUAGAUACCCCUGUAGUC
Molecule: ribosomal RNA, 464 nt
Filed under: uncultured bacterium
Lineage: Bacteria
Description: bacterial SSU rRNA
Rfam family: Bacterial small subunit ribosomal RNA
Source: RNAcentral